This 594-nucleotide ribosomal RNA is filed under the name Stenotrophomonas rhizophila. RNAcentral's name for it is "bacterial SSU rRNA". It matches the Rfam family "Bacterial small subunit ribosomal RNA", at positions 74 to 660 of the family's 1533-position model. The record is from RNAcentral. Lineage: Bacteria; Pseudomonadati; Pseudomonadota; Gammaproteobacteria; Lysobacterales; Lysobacteraceae.
AAGAGCUUGCUCUUAUGGGUGGCGAGUGCCGGACGGGUGAGGAAUACAUCGGAAUCUACCUUUUCGUGGGGGAUAACGUAGGGAAACUUACGCUAAUACCGCAUACGACCUUCGGGUGAAAGCAGGGGACCUUCGGGCCUUGCGCGGAUAGAUGAGCCGAUGUCGGAUUAGCUAGUUGGCGGGGUAAAGGCCCACCAAGGCGACGAUCCGUAGCUGGUCUGAGAGGAUGAUCAGCCUCACUGGAACUGAGACACGGUCCAGACUCCUACGGGAGGCAGCAGUGGGGAAUAUUGGACAAUGGGCGCAAGCCUGAUCCAGCCAUACCGCGUGGGUGAAGAAGGCCUUCGGGUUGUAAAGCCCUUUUGUUGGGAAAGAAAAGCAGUCGAUUAAUACUCGGUUGUUCUGACGGUACCCAAAGAAUAAGCACCGGCUAACUUCGUGCCAGCAGCCGCGGUAAUACGAAGGGUGCAAGCGUUACUCGGAAUUACUGGGCGUAAAGCGUGCGUAGGUGGUUGUUUAAGUCUGUUGUGAAAGCCCUGGGCUCAACCUGGGAAUUGCAGUGGAUACUGGGCGACUAGAGUGUGGUAGAGGGAA